RNAcentral lists this transfer RNA (85 nucleotides) under Chloroflexi bacterium HGW-Chloroflexi-8. RNAcentral's name for it is "tRNA-Leu". It matches the Rfam family "tRNA". From Rfam's summary of the family: Transfer RNA (tRNA) molecules are approximately 80 nucleotides in length. Their secondary structure includes four short double-helical elements and three loops (D, anti-codon, and T loops). Lineage: Bacteria; Bacillati; Chloroflexota. The record is from RNAcentral.
GCCGGAGUGGCGGAAUUGGCAGACGCGCACGACUCAAAAUCGUGUACCUUCGGGUAUGUGGGUUCAAUUCCCACCUUCGGCACAA